AUACGGGAGGCAGCAGUGGGGAAUAUUGGGCAAUGGGCGCAAGCCUGACCCAGCCAUGCCGCGUGAGUGAUGAAGGCCUUCGGGUCGUAAAGCUCUGUGGGGAGGGAAGAACCUGCAUCGCGUGAAUAAUGCGGUGCCCUGACGGUACCUCCUUAGCAAGCACCGGCUAACUCCGUGCCAGCAGCCGCGGUAAUACGGAGGGUGCAAACGUUGCUCGGAAUCAUUGGGCGUAAAGCGCACGUAGGCGGUCCUGCAAGUCGGGUGUGAAAGCCCUCGGCUCACCGAGGAAGUGCAUCCGAAACUGCAGAACUUGAGUAGUGAAGAGGGUCUCGGAAUUCCCGGUGUAGAGGUGAAGUUCGUAGAUAUCGGGAGGAACACCAGUGGCGAAGGCGGAGACCUGGGCACAUACUGACGCUGAGGUGCGAAAGCGUGGGGAGCAAACAGGCUUAGAUACCCGUGUAGUCCG
This 466-nucleotide ribosomal RNA is filed under the name uncultured bacterium. RNAcentral's name for it is "bacterial SSU rRNA". It matches the Rfam family "Bacterial small subunit ribosomal RNA", at positions 339 to 797 of the family's 1533-position model. The record is from RNAcentral.